Apis mellifera (honey bee) is the source of this 812-nucleotide long non-coding RNA. RefSeq lists it as uncharacterized. The transcript is spliced from 2 exons. The record is from RefSeq and is a predicted model, not a curated record. NCBI's taxonomy places the organism in Eukaryota, Metazoa, Arthropoda, Insecta, Hymenoptera, Apidae.
AAAAAUUUAUAAUAAAAGGUAAAACUUUGGAAUUUUCAUUAAAAUGGCGCGAAAAAUAUUAGCAAUUAAUUUAGAUGGCCAUUACAGUCAGGCUAACCCAUUUUUUGCAAUGUCCUUAUAAAAGGUAUACUUUUAAUCGGUUUUGCACGAUGAAAGCUGCAUACUGGCGAGGUUAAAAACGCGACUUCCAGCUCCGAACAUUACGUACACUAGGUCCGAUGGAAUCUCGUUCAAUUAGUGCAAUUAACUAUUCGAGAGCGCGUAGGUGAGACUCGAGUGCCGUGUAAAAAUGCAAAAUUGGAUUAAGCGCCGGUGAAAGGACCAUUAGAGGGGAGAUAUUAAAAGUUAGCGACGGCUUUAGUUACUGCUAUCAGAAAGCACGAGUGUGAAAGGGGCUUGAAAAUGGUGGCGGACUCAAAGCCGUGAACAUCAUUCGUUCGAUAUUCGAUAAUAAUGAAAUACGUAAAAAUAAGGGGACAAGAUAAAGAGAUUUGUUCAUGAUUAAAAUAAUGAAAAUGUCAAGAGAUAAAAGAAAGUAUAAUAUCCUGUUGUCAUUUGAUUUCUGUGUGGCUUAUUAUUUAUAUAAAUGCACGUAAAAGCUUACAAGCUCUUGAGCAAGCAGUCAAAAAUACAAUUCUUUUUCAUGAAAAAUCCAGCAACGAUAUCGUCGAAAAAUUUGUUUUUGGAAUAAUUUAAUCUUUAGGAUUUUUUGAUUUCUACUUGAUUACUAUCAAUCUCCUUUAUAUACAUUGAUUAUAUAAAAUAAUUUUAAAAUAUGUUUUUAUAUAUACAUAUUUAAAUAUUGUUGAUUU